Molecule: ribosomal RNA, 978 nt
Filed under: Triticum aestivum (bread wheat)
Lineage: Eukaryota; Viridiplantae; Streptophyta; Magnoliopsida; Poales; Poaceae
Description: partial small subunit ribosomal RNA
Source: RNAcentral
AUGAGGACAGGAUCAGCGCGCUCCCCGACGAACUCCUCCUCCGAAUCCUCCAGCGCCUCGACCUGCCCGAGGCGGUCCGCGCCGGCGCACUCUCCACGCGCUGUGCGCCGGCGGCACCUCCCUCACCAGCUCUCGGUCCUGAUAUUCCAGAUCCACCACUUCCGCGGCGCCACGCCGGUCCAGACCAUGGACGCGUUCACUGCCGCUUUGCUCUCCGUGUGUGCUCCGGCCGAGCGCAGCUGUGAAUGCCAGCACAGCCGCGCCAUCAAGGUCAUCGGCCUAUGCUUCUACCUGUCGGCCCCUCACCUGAGCUCCAUCGGCAGCGCCGUCGAUGGUGUCGUCAGCCGUGGCAAGACAAAACGCAUCGAAUUUCGAAUAUCCCCGCCACCCACGGACAACACUGCCCUGCAGCUCACCGAGUUUGGGCAGCAAUUCAUGUCCUUCUUCCGCGCCUACCAGGUCACCUUCCGGUGGCUCACGAGGUUACGACUCAAGAGCCUUGCAUUCGGGGACUCCGACAUCACCGACCUCAUUAGGGCUUGCGAUAAGCUCAGGUUUUUCAACAUGAGAUUCUGCAGACUGGUUAAUCAUGGCUCUGCGCUAAAGAUUGACACCCCGUGUUCUGGGCUCCAGGAGCUUGAGUUUAUGCACUUUCUGUGCAAGGAGAUUGAGCUCAUCUGCGUCCCCAAGCUAAGGACAGUGUUGUGCCAUUCUUGGUUCUACAAGAACCCUCCGCUGCGCCUUGGCUACGUUCCAGAGCUUCGCAAAAUCAGUCUCGAUUGUGAGGCCAAGGUGUGGCCGGUGCCAUUCCUGCUGAGUGAGUGCUUGUCAAGCAGUGCAAUGAACCUGUUGAAAUUGCAUCUCAAUUUUCGCCACAAAAUGAUAUGGAUUCAGCCGGAACAUCCGAAGCAGCUCACUGCUAUAUUCAGAAAUCUGUCCGAUGUGUCCCUUCUGGUAUCUUCCAUGAGUGUGAUCUGA